UACGUAGGGGGCAAGCGUUAUCCGGAUUUACUGGGUGUAAAGGGAGCGUAGACGGCAGUGCAAGUCUGGAGUGAAAGGCGGGGGCUCAACCCCCGGACUGCUCUGGAAACUGUACGGCUGGAGUGCAGGAGAGGUAAGUGGAAUUCCUAGCGUAGCGGUGAAAUGCGUAGAUAUUAGGAGGAACACCAGUGGCGAAGGCGGCUUACUGGACUGUAACUGGCGUUGAGGCUCGAAAGCGUGGGGAGCAAACAGG
RNAcentral lists this ribosomal RNA (253 nucleotides) under uncultured bacterium. RNAcentral describes it as "partial 16S ribosomal RNA". It matches the Rfam family "Bacterial small subunit ribosomal RNA", at positions 524 to 776 of the family's 1533-position model. The record is from RNAcentral.